GUUUCAGUGUGAUACCUUUAUUGAGGCGUACGGACCCUACGUCAUCCAGCUUCUGGCUCAGCUAGCCAAGCCUGAGGAAGUCUGUCGGCACUCCAAGUGUGCAAGGUUCAGGAUCAACCCAAACACCACCUGCUGGGAGAGAAGAAAUGCACGUUCGGACCGGCGUACUGGUGCGCAAGCGAGGACAACGCAAAGGAAUGCAACGCCAUGGAGCAUUGCAAGAACCACGCUUGGAACUGAUUCCCCUCCAGGGGGCGCCGCUAAUCUGUCGUAAAGAAGAUAAGUGAGGACUGCUGUGGGUUUGAUGAAGGUAGACCGCGUACACUUACACAAUUAUUCGCAUAAUUUCCUAAAGAAACAUUUACUAUUAAGAGGUUACGUACACAUUACUAACAGCUUCACAGAUUUCUGCUUUUACCUUUGUCGAUCUGCGUUUGCAAGCCGUACUACUAUAUAUGCACGUCGUACUCAUAAUCGUGGCAUAAUAUUGUCAGGAAAUAUUUUGUGUAAGAAUGUUAAAGUGAUUGCAAUUGUCGAUACAUGAAAGCGAUAAACGAUUGGUGAAGCUAUUACUGAUAUAAUCGUCAACUGUUUUACUGUUUUGCCGAAAGCAAUUUGUCGGCACGAAGGCUUAAGUGGUUAUUCUCACAAGGCCUGAAAAUAAUGCCCUACAUUUUGGAAAUGAGGCCUACAAAUCUAUACUAGUUAUUGUGAUUGUCAGUUGAUGUAAUCUGUCAUUGUAUGUAAGUUAGAUGUAAGAUUUUGGGCUGUUAUGGACGUAAAUUGCUCUGCGUGCGUUCAGUCAUAUUGCAAUUUUGGUUUUUACUAUGUAAUGAUUUCACAUAUAAUUCUGGCACUGGUGUUUUUUUCGAGCACCGCAUGCAACAAUAAUUGAAAAGAUCACGUCACGGUGAUAACGCGAUUGAUGGCGUCACAGAUAAUUCUGUGUAUACUAUAUGUGUAAUAUAUGUAGAUUCCAGUAUUGCUAAUAAGCCUUUAAACUGUCAAAUUUCGCACACGACAAUAAAUUCGUCGGAUUAAAAAAUAGCA
Molecule: long non-coding RNA, 1050 nt
Organism: Priapulus caudatus
Lineage: Eukaryota; Metazoa; Priapulida; Priapulimorpha; Priapulimorphida; Priapulidae
Exons: 3
Source: RefSeq, a predicted model, not a curated record